GUGCCUUUUUUGGGAAUGUCAUGUGAGAGCGCUGAUGCCGUUUUGCCUGAAAAUAAAGUUGGAGCUGUCUGGAAGUUGUGGAAUGUGUAGCAGGCUCAGGGCCAGCGCUGUGUUUGGAGUCAACCGGGCCGGAUAGCAGGGUUCUCAGGGACACCCAGACAGACAGGAGGCAGCUGUGGAUCGCAGAUGCAUGCUGCAUGGACACUACAUCUGUAGCUGAGCUAGUUUCUCUGGAUUAAAAACAUUUCAUCCAGAGAUGUUUCCAAGCAGUGAUUAUCAACCAAAGAGUGAAGUCUGCCAGUUUUAGCGUCAUUGCUGAAGGCGCUGGGCUGGCUCAGAGCACGUGAGAAAUGUUCGUCCACCACAUCCCCGAUGUCUCCACGGAAAUAGGUGAACACCACACACCUGGC
Long non-coding RNA from Ctenopharyngodon idella (grass carp), 410 nucleotides. RefSeq lists it as uncharacterized. The record is from RefSeq and is a predicted model, not a curated record. The transcript has 3 exons. NCBI's taxonomy places the organism in Eukaryota, Metazoa, Chordata, Actinopteri, Cypriniformes, Xenocyprididae.